GGACGAACGCUGGCGGCGUGCCUAAUGAAUGCGAGUCGAACGGAACAUAGAGAUCGUGAUUGCUUUCGGGCGGUCACCCUUUAUGUUUAGUGGCAAACGGGUGAGUAACACGUGGAUAACGUGCCUUCAAGCCGAGGAUAACAGGGCGAAAGUCCUGCUAAUACUCGAUGGUCUGCCCCUGCUUUGGCGGGGACCAGUAAAGCUCCGGCGCUUGGAGAUCGGUCCGCGGUCCAUUAGCUUGUUGGUGGGGUAAUGGCCCACCAAGGCGACAAUGGGUAGCUGGUCUGAGAGGACGAUCAGCCACACUGGGACUGAGACAUGGUCCAGACUCCUACGGGAGUUAGCAUCCGGGAAUCUUGCACAAUGGGCGCAAGCCUGAUGCAGCGACGCCGCGUGGGUGAUGAAGGUCUGCGGAUCGUAAAGCCCUGUCAGGAGGGACGACACCCGACUGUACCUCCAAAGGAAGCCCCGGCUAACUACGUGCCAGCAGCCGCGGUAAAACGUAGGGGGCUAGCGUUGUCCGGAAUUACUGGGCGUAAAGGGCACGCAGGCGGUCUGUAAAGCGGUGGGUGCAAUCUCGAGGCUCAACCUCGAAACUGCUUGCCGAACUGGCAGACUAGAGCACGGGAGAGGACAGUGGAAUUCCCGGUGUAGCGGUGGAAUGCGUAAAUAUCGGGAGGAACACCAGUGGCGAAGGCUGCUGUCUGGAACGUUGCUGACGCUGAGGUGCGAAAGCUAGGGGAGCGAACGGGAUUAGAUACCCCGGUAGUCCUAGCCGUAAACGAUGCUCACUAGGUGUUGCCGGCAUUAACCCCGGCAGUGCUGUUCUGCUAACGCGCUAAGUGAGCCGCCUGGGGGAGUACGGCCGCAAGGCUGAAACUCC
This 883-nucleotide ribosomal RNA is filed under the name uncultured bacterium. Its description in RNAcentral is "bacterial SSU rRNA". It matches the Rfam family "Bacterial small subunit ribosomal RNA", at positions 27 to 903 of the family's 1533-position model. The record is from RNAcentral.